GGUGGGACAUCAAAUGGAAUAAAUUUUAUAUCUUGUUGAACUUAUAGUGAUACACAUUAUUUCACCUUCUGGAGUGUUAUGAGUUCCUCCACAAAAUUUGAUCUGGAGUGUAUGAGUUCCGCCACAAAAUUUGAAGCAACAUGUCCAGUUUUUCAGACUGUAGUUGGAUGUCAAUCUGAGCUUCUACGCCUUGGACCUUUGCAAACCAAAGCUUUGGUUGGUUCUUUACCAUGAGCAGAUGAUCAAUGUGCUAGUGCUACGACACAUUCAGUUAGUUGCAGUGAUCAACCGGCACGUUUAGUUAGUUGCCGAGAUCAACCGUGUAGCUGUAGUGGAUUUCCUUAUAAAGCAAUGUUUUGUUUAAUCAUUGAGUAUUUUCAAGGGACCAAAGCUCAUGCAUAUGUAUAAUCUACAAUCUAAAUUACAACACAUUGUAAU
This 438-nucleotide unclassified non-coding RNA is filed under the name Hevea brasiliensis (rubber tree). The record is from RNAcentral. Lineage: Eukaryota; Viridiplantae; Streptophyta; Magnoliopsida; Malpighiales; Euphorbiaceae.